CUCCUUGUAGCUUAGUGGUAGAGCACUGUUACGGAAAACCAGGGACUCGAGUUCGAUUCCCGGUGAGGGAG
This 71-nucleotide transfer RNA is filed under the name Agrilus planipennis (emerald ash borer). It matches the Rfam family "tRNA". From Rfam's summary of the family: Transfer RNA (tRNA) molecules are approximately 80 nucleotides in length. Lineage: Eukaryota; Metazoa; Arthropoda; Insecta; Coleoptera; Buprestidae. The record is from Rfam by way of RNAcentral.